Molecule: ribosomal RNA, 327 nt
Filed under: Triticum aestivum (bread wheat)
Lineage: Eukaryota; Viridiplantae; Streptophyta; Magnoliopsida; Poales; Poaceae
Description: partial small subunit ribosomal RNA
Source: RNAcentral
AUGGAGGAGGAUAUUCCCUUCUGUACCUACAGCCUAACUUCACUGGCGGAUCUGCCAAGGCCCAGUGCGACGCCUACACGGUUCAUUGAUGUCAUUGGUAGGAUAACCAUGGUCUCGGAUAUCAUCCUUAUCCAUCCAUGCAUCAUAGUGGCUUCGAAAACAAGGCCAGUUAUGCUCAAGGCCAGGAGAUCCAGAUUACCAUGUGAUGGUGCUGUUGAAUUUGACGUAGACAUGGUCCAUGCAGUGUGUGAAAAGGAGCCUCUUAUUCCUAUAUUUGUAGGAACCUUACCCAAGACUGUUCAUGGUUUUAAGAGGGCUCAGUGGUAG